CUUUAUGGCGGGCGGUGCGUGGGGGCCGAAAGGCCCGCCGGCCCUUGGACCGGUCUUCCAACCGCGCACCGUCCGCCACCCUG
RNAcentral lists this non-coding RNA (83 nucleotides) under Xanthomonas campestris. Lineage: Bacteria; Pseudomonadati; Pseudomonadota; Gammaproteobacteria; Lysobacterales; Lysobacteraceae. RNAcentral also lists the same sequence under 4 other names. The record is from RNAcentral.